GUACGAGCUUUGGUUCAAGUGUAAGCUUAUAUUUUUGGGUGCACCUCUGUUCUCCAUGUUAACGCAAUGCGCCUUUUCACACUUUUCACACUCGCUAGUGGCUGGAUAGUCUACAGAAGAGGGUAGGAGUUUACAACUCCUUGCUACACCAGGGUAUGUCUACACUGGACAGGAAAACCCACAGCACCGAGUCUCAGAGCUCAGGCGUUGGCUCUGGAUGAUGAACUAGACACUGCGGUCAAAAUUGCACAUUCAGUCUUGCAAAAACCAGAGGCGAGCAAAACUGGAGAUGCACUGGAUUGGCUCAGACAUGUGCAGACGUAAGAAGGCCUUGGGAAGCCUCCAGUGACCUAUGGGGAAUUUACCACCUUCCAUUAUGGAGUUCAAACUCAUUUAUCAUAAUGCCCACAAGACAUCGACUGGAAAGAACUCUGCCAUAGACUAGGAAAUCUGUGUGUGAUCACUGCAGGCUGAAGGGAGGUUCAAAUCUGGAAAAGGGCCUCCUUGUUCAUUGUCCAUCAAAGAUGAUGGUGUAGUCAAUUGGUCUGGGCCUAGAGCACUGCUGUCUCAGUCCUUGCAGUUACUUCGUGGUCUCUACUCCAUGAAGCAAGGAGGGGGACGGUUGCCCUAAGAGGAAGAAUGGUCAUAUGGUUAUGGUAAUAGAUUGGGAAGAAGGAGAAAGGGAUUCUGUUGCUGUUUCUAUAGGACACGUCCUACUUUGGGUUUGAGUCCCACCUCUGUCACAUCUUUCCUAUGUGCCCUGGGGCAAGUCACUUUAUGUCUCUGUGCCUCCACUCCCAGGCUGCAAAAUGGGGAUAACAGUGGUUCCCACUCCUGCGAGCAUUGUCCAAUAAGUUAUCCCGGUUUGUGAGGUUGUCUAGUGAGGGGUGCCAUAGAGGAUGAGGCUGCUCAGAAAGGAAACAAUUCCAUAUGUAGGAAAGGAUGUGGAGGGUGCAUAACCGAACAAUGAGGAUAGACCAAUAUCGAACACCUGCCUUAUUCUCUAAGCAUCGUCUGCCCUUUGCACUAAAUGAGGCUGGGGUCCUGUGGAAUAAGUAACCAGAUCCUGUAAAUAAAGACUAUCAUAAAUGAUA
Molecule: long non-coding RNA, 1094 nt
Organism: Malaclemys terrapin pileata
Lineage: Eukaryota; Metazoa; Chordata; Testudines; Emydidae
Exons: 2
Source: RefSeq, a predicted model, not a curated record